This 253-nucleotide ribosomal RNA is filed under the name uncultured bacterium. Its description in RNAcentral is "partial 16S ribosomal RNA". It matches the Rfam family "Bacterial small subunit ribosomal RNA", at positions 524 to 776 of the family's 1533-position model. The record is from RNAcentral.
UACGAGGGGUGCUAGCGUUACUCGGAAUCACUGGGCGUAAAGGACGCGUAGGCGGAUAGAUAAGUCUUUUGUGAAAUCUAACGGCUCAACCGUUAAACUGCUUAAGAAACUAUUUAUCUAGAGCAAGGUAGAGGCAGAUGGAAUUGGUGGUGUAGGGGUAAAAUCCGUAGAGAUCACCAGGAAUACCCAUUGCGAAGGCGAUCUGCUGGAACUUGACUGACGCUGAGGCGUGAAAGCGUGGGUAGCAAACAGG